AUUGGGAUAACUGGGUCAAAUGGUGGUUCCAUUCCAAUUUUUCUGAGGAAUUUCCAUACUGCUUUUUGGAGUGGUUGUACCAAUUUGCAGUCCCACCAGCAAU
Molecule: microRNA precursor, 103 nt
Filed under: Marmota monax (woodchuck)
Lineage: Eukaryota; Metazoa; Chordata; Mammalia; Rodentia; Sciuridae
Source: RNAcentral